AGACCAGUGAAAUUAAUUGUUGGUGAUAAUGGAAGAAAGAAUUUCCACAAAAUGCCUGUCACCAUGAACAAGAUUGUAUUGAAUACUAUUUUCAACUGGUAUACAAGUAUCAUGACAUCACCAAUUUAUUAAAAACAUAUCAUGGUAUUAAGAUGUGUGUCCGCUCAUUAAAAAGAAAACUACAAAAAUAUAAC
Long non-coding RNA from Xenia sp. Carnegie-2017, 194 nucleotides. RefSeq lists it as uncharacterized. The transcript is spliced from 2 exons. The record is from RefSeq and is a predicted model, not a curated record. NCBI's taxonomy places the organism in Eukaryota, Metazoa, Cnidaria, Anthozoa, Malacalcyonacea, Xeniidae.